GCUACGGGAGGCAGCAGUGAGGAAUAUUGGUCAAUGGACGAGAGUCUGAACCAGCCAAGUAGCGUGAAGGAUGACUGCCCUAUGGGUUGUAAACUUCUUUUAUAAAGGAAUAAAACGAGGCACGUGUGCCUUUUUGCAUGUACUUUAUGAAUAAGGAUCGGCUAACUCCGUGCCAGCAGCCGCGGUAAUCCGGAGGUUCCGAGCGUUAUCCGGAUUUAUUGGGUUUAAAGGGAGCGUAGAUGGGUUGUUAAGUCAGUUGUGAAAGUUUGCGGAUCAACCGUAAAAUUGCAAUUGAUACUGGCAGUCUUGAGUACAGUUGAGGUAGGCGGAAUUCGUGGUGUAGCGGUGAAAUGCUUAGAUAUCACGAAGAACUCCGAUUGCGAAGGCAGCUUACUAAACUGCCACUGACAUUGAUGCUCGAAAGUGUGGGUAUCAAACAGGAUUAGAUACCCUGGUAGUC
This 460-nucleotide ribosomal RNA is filed under the name uncultured bacterium. Its description in RNAcentral is "partial 16S ribosomal RNA". It matches the Rfam family "Bacterial small subunit ribosomal RNA", at positions 338 to 795 of the family's 1533-position model. The record is from RNAcentral.